Non-coding RNA from Gossypium hirsutum (cotton), 145 nucleotides. The record is from Rfam. NCBI's taxonomy places the organism in Eukaryota, Viridiplantae, Streptophyta, Magnoliopsida, Malvales, Malvaceae.
GGUUAAAAUUUUCAUCCAUUUCUAAUGAUAAAAACUGGUGUAACUGACUGAAUAAUUAGACAAUUACAUCUGGUGUGCCACUUGUACCUCAUGUCAAGAAUCUGGGAUCAGUUUUUAACCAUCGAAAUGGAUAAAAUUUUUAACA